This 236-nucleotide long non-coding RNA is filed under the name Ananas comosus (pineapple). RNAcentral describes it as "long non-coding RNA (ACOM_LNC016805)". Lineage: Eukaryota; Viridiplantae; Streptophyta; Magnoliopsida; Poales; Bromeliaceae. The record is from RNAcentral.
UUGAAACAAAGGAAGAUGGAGAAGACGAAAAAGAGAUAAAAGAGAUAGAAGAGACAAAAAGAAUGAGAAGCUUGGGAAAGAAGAAAAGGCCGUCGUAUCGAACUGUCGCAUCGAAGCGAGUUCCGAGGUCUGCUAUAAUGAUGAAUAGACAGCGGCAAUUAAGAUGACCUAAUUAAUGCCGCAUGUAAGACAAAAUUAGAGAAUAUGAUCGGGGCCGUAAAGAAGAGAGUAAGUGG